GGGGAUGAUCGGUUUCGACGAUGCGGGUUGAGACAGGGGAAGCGUGCCGAGGAUGCAGAGUUAUCUCGUAAACGCUCUCUGUAAAAAAAUAAGUGCAGAAUCUAAGCGCACUGACUUCGCUCUCGCUGCCUAAGCGCGACUAGCGAAUCUGCUGGCCUGAGCUCGCCUUUAGCUCAGUUACCAGUAUCAGUUUAAAAGGCCACUGCUUUCUAUCUUCGUCGUAGGGAUAGAAGGAACACUUAUACGAAUAGGUUCGGCAGCAUGUGUGUUUGUGCAAAUGCUGGAGCCGAAAAUUAACCGUUACGCAAACUGCGCACGGAGAAGACCUGACGAGGUCGCAUCGGACCGGGGUUCGAUUCCCCGCAUCUCCACU
RNAcentral lists this transfer-messenger RNA (373 nucleotides) under Rothia terrae. It matches the Rfam family "transfer-messenger RNA". From Rfam's summary of the family: Bacterial tmRNA, also known as 10Sa RNA or SsrA, is named for its dual tRNA and mRNA-like properties. Its role is to liberate the mRNA from a stalled ribosome. To accomplish this part of the tmRNA is used as a reading frame that ends in a translation stop signal. The record is from RNAcentral. Lineage: Bacteria; Bacillati; Actinomycetota; Actinomycetes; Micrococcales; Micrococcaceae.